This 120-nucleotide ribosomal RNA is filed under the name Escherichia coli. The record is from RNAcentral. Lineage: Bacteria; Pseudomonadati; Pseudomonadota; Gammaproteobacteria; Enterobacterales; Enterobacteriaceae. RNAcentral also lists the same sequence under 5 other names.
UGCCUGGCGGCCUUAGCGCGGUGGUCCCACCUGACCCCAUGCCGAACUCAGAAGUGAAACGCCGUAGCGCCGAUGGUAGUGUGGGGUCUCCCCAUGCGAGAGUAGGGAACUGCCAGGUAU